UUAAAAAUUUUAUUUUAUUAUUUCACUUAACAGUCUAUUUAAAUUUUAUCUGAGCAACUUUUUGGUGUAAUUCAAUAGCAUUUUUUGAGGUCCUAAUACCUUCCUUAUUUUGAAAUUGCCGCAGUAGAAAGUCAGCAAAAUUUUUAUUUAUAAAACUACAACUUUUUUUUAUUUAAAGAAUAAACAUUCAAAAUUUUUAUUUAUGAACCCAAACCUAAGAGGUAAAUAAUUUACCCUAUUUAAAAACAACGAAUUAUUGUUUUUUACCAAGCUUAUACAUUUUCUAUAUAUCUAAUUUUGAAAAAAUGUAUAAUAUUAAAUUAUUGUUUUUUACCAAGCUUAUACAUUUNUAUAUCUAAUUUUGAAAAAAUGUAUAAUAUUAAAUUAUUGUUUUUUACCAAGCUUAUACAUUUUCUAUAUAUCUAAUUUU
RNAcentral lists this long non-coding RNA (430 nucleotides) under Ananas comosus (pineapple). Its description in RNAcentral is "long non-coding RNA (ACOM_LNC002743)". The record is from RNAcentral. Lineage: Eukaryota; Viridiplantae; Streptophyta; Magnoliopsida; Poales; Bromeliaceae.